GUGCUUGAGCCCAGGAGUUCUGAGCUGUAACACAUUAUGCCUAUAUAGUUUCCACACUAAAUUUGGCAUCAAUACCGUGACCUCUUGAGAGCAGAGGUUGCCUAAGGAGGGGUGAAUUGGCCCAGCUCAGAAACAGAGCAGGUCAAAACUCCCCUGCUGAUCAGUAGUGGAACUGCGCUUGUGAAUAACCACUGCACCCCAGCCUGGGCAAUUUAGCAC
RNAcentral lists this small RNA (219 nucleotides) under Moschus moschiferus (Siberian musk deer). RNAcentral describes it as "Metazoan signal recognition particle RNA (ENSMMSG00000022869.1)". It matches the Rfam family "Metazoan signal recognition particle RNA", at positions 59 to 285 of the family's 299-position model. From Rfam's summary of the family: The signal recognition particle (SRP) is a universally conserved ribonucleoprotein. It is involved in the co-translational targeting of proteins to membranes. The eukaryotic SRP consists of a 300-nucleotide 7S RNA and six proteins: SRPs 72, 68, 54, 19, 14, and 9. Lineage: Eukaryota; Metazoa; Chordata; Mammalia; Artiodactyla; Moschidae. The record is from Rfam by way of RNAcentral.